CCUACGGGAGGCAGCAGUGGGGAAUAUUGCACAAUGGGCGCAAGCCUGAUGCAGCCAUGCCGCGUGUGUGAAGAAGGCCUUCGGGUUGUAAAGCACUUUCAGUCAGGAGGAAAGGUUAGUAGUUAAUACCUGCUAGCUGUGACGUUACUGACAGAAGAAGCACCGGCUAACUCCGUGCCAGCAGCCGCGGUAAUACGGAGGGUGCGAGCGUUAAUCGGAAUUACUGGGCGUAAAGCGUACGCAGGCGGUUUGUUAAGCGAGAUAUGAAAGCCCCGGGCUCAACCUGGGAACUGCAUUUCGAACUGGCAAACUAGAGUGUGAUAGAGGGUGGUAGAAUUUCAGGUGUAGCGGUGAAAUGCGUAGAGAUCUGAAGGAAUACCGAUGGCGAAGGCAGCCACCUGGGUCAACACUGACGCUCAUGUACGAAAGCGUGGGGAGCAAACAGGAUUAGAUACCCUGGUAGUCCACGCCGUAAACGAUGUCUACUAGAAGCUCGGAACUUCGGUUCUGUUUUUCAAAGCUAACGCAUUAAGUAGACCGCCUGGGGAGUACGGCCGCAAGGUUAAAACUCAAAUGAAUUGACGGGG
Molecule: ribosomal RNA, 587 nt
Filed under: uncultured Pseudoalteromonas sp.
Lineage: Bacteria; Pseudomonadati; Pseudomonadota; Gammaproteobacteria; Alteromonadales; Pseudoalteromonadaceae
Description: bacterial SSU rRNA
Rfam family: Bacterial small subunit ribosomal RNA
Source: RNAcentral